This 387-nucleotide long non-coding RNA is filed under the name Anser brachyrhynchus (Pink-footed goose). RNAcentral describes it as "lncRNA (ENSABRG00000001509.1)". Lineage: Eukaryota; Metazoa; Chordata; Aves; Anseriformes; Anatidae. The record is from RNAcentral.
AUGUAUAGCAUACUGUAUAGAAAAGUACCAAGUAUUUUCUCCUCUCUGUGUUCUUUCACUAUUCCUUCUUUCUCUCCACCUAGGCACACUGGCAAUUUCAAGAGCUACACUGACUGGGACUGUUCCCAUUUGGAAACAGGGAAAAUCAAGAUGAACAAUCUGCUGUCACCAAAGACAGAGGAAAGUAGUAAGAACACUGAGAUGACGAGCAGUCCAAAGAAGACUAAUAAGCACUCCCUGCAAGAAUGUAAUGUAAUGUUUGCAAAGACAUGCAACCACCAAGUGGAUGCGUCACAGAAGCUAAGGCUUUCUUUGAAAGAAUCCAUUGCUGACUUCUGUGUCUUGUUCCUAUUACUGACAGGAACUAUGAUGUGGACAAGCUUCUAG